This 65-nucleotide transfer RNA is filed under the name Neuroctenus parus. RNAcentral describes it as "tRNA-Leu". Lineage: Eukaryota; Metazoa; Arthropoda; Insecta; Hemiptera; Aradidae. The record is from RNAcentral.
ACUGUAUUGGCAGAUUAGUGCAAUAAAUUUAGGAUUUAUUUAUGUAAUUUAUUUUACAUGCAGUA